RNAcentral lists this ribosomal RNA (460 nucleotides) under uncultured bacterium. RNAcentral describes it as "partial 16S ribosomal RNA". It matches the Rfam family "Bacterial small subunit ribosomal RNA", at positions 338 to 795 of the family's 1533-position model. The record is from RNAcentral.
CCUACGGGUGGCAGCAGUGAGGAAUAUUGGUCAAUGGACGAGAGUCUGAACCAGCCAAGUAGCGUGAAGGAUGACUGCCCUCGGGGUUGUAAACUUCUUCUAUAUGGGAAUAAAACGUUCCACGUGUGGGAUUUUGUAUGUAUCAUAUGAAUAAGGAUCGGCUAACUCCGUGCCAGCAGCCGCGGUAAUACGGAGGAUCUGAGCGUUAUCCGGAUUUAUUGGGUUUAAAGGGAGCGUAGGUGGAUGGUUAAGUCAGUUGUGAAAGUGUGCGGCUCAACCGUAAAAUUGCAGUUGAAACUGGCAGUCUUGAGUACAGUAGAGGUGGGCGGAAUUCGUGGUGUAGCGGUGAAAUGCUUAGAUAUCACGAAGAACUCCGAUUGCGAAGGCAGUUCACUGGACUGCAACUGACACUGAGGCUCGAAAGUGUGGGUAUCAAACAGGAUUAGAUACCCGAGUAGUC